GGGGGUAUAACUUAGCGGCUAAAGUAACUGGCUUUUAACCAGUAAAUCAGGGUUCGAUUCCCUGUGCCCCUACCA
RNAcentral lists this transfer RNA (75 nucleotides) under bacterium. RNAcentral describes it as "tRNA-Lys". It matches the Rfam family "tRNA". Rfam says of the family: Transfer RNA (tRNA) molecules are approximately 80 nucleotides in length. The record is from RNAcentral.